AUUACUCCUACGGGAGGCAGCAGUAGGGAAUCUUCCGCAAUGGACGAAAGUCUGACGGAGCAACGCCGCGUGAGUGAUGAAGGUUUUCGGAUCGUAAAACUCUGUUGUCAGGGAAGAACAAGUACCGGAGUAACUGCCGGUACCUUGACGGUACCUGACCAGAAAGCCACGGCUAACUACGUGCCAGCAGCCGCGGUAAUAAU
This 203-nucleotide ribosomal RNA is filed under the name uncultured bacterium. RNAcentral describes it as "partial 16S ribosomal RNA". It matches the Rfam family "Bacterial small subunit ribosomal RNA", at positions 332 to 526 of the family's 1533-position model. The record is from RNAcentral.